RNAcentral lists this small RNA (579 nucleotides) under Pan troglodytes (chimpanzee). RNAcentral's name for it is "retained intron". Lineage: Eukaryota; Metazoa; Chordata; Mammalia; Primates; Hominidae. The record is from RNAcentral.
GAUGUCAGCACUGCUUCCGGUCGGUGGCGCUUCUCUCUGGCCCGAGCCAGCAUGAUCCGCUGGGCCCCCAGCGCAUCUCCUGGAAGAGCCCACUCACCCUGGACGAGCUCUUCGGUAGCCUCAGACCGUCCUUGAAGAGGAUGACUGAGACAUUAUGGGCCACGCGCUGUGUGUCUGCUCUCGGGGAACUGUCAUCAUUGACAAUAAGCGCUACCUCUUCAUCCAGAAACUGGGGGAGGGGUGAGUGUUUGGAAGUCAGUUAACUAGUCCUCAAGUUUAUGGUCAUUGAAGGACAGCGGUGUGCACAUGCUUGGGGCACAAGGGUUUUAUCCCCAUCCCUGUCCUCUCUCACCUGACAGAACCUAGCUACACAGUAUCAAGAAGGUGGAUUCUGGAGCCAGGCCUCCUAAAUCCACCUCGUGUGACCUUGAUAAACCAUGUUUUUUUCAUCAGCUUAAUGGAGAUGAUUAUUAUCCCUCACUGAUGGAGUUGUGAGGAUUAAAUGAGAUAAUGUGUAUAAAAUGUCUCACCCAAUGCCUGGUUGACAAGUACUUGAUAAGUGUUGGCUAUUAUUUAUUU